AUGUAAGGGCUCUCUGGCUGUGACAUAUGUCACCCCACUGAUUGCCAGGAUUGAUACGGCUGACCUGUCUGGCUGAGCAAAUGUUCCCUUCUCUCUCACCAUU
This is an unclassified non-coding RNA of Vulpes vulpes (red fox), 103 nucleotides long. Its record names the gene 7SK. It matches the Rfam family "7SK RNA". Rfam says of the family: 7SK was discovered as an abundant small nuclear RNA in the mid-70s but a possible function has only recently been suggested. Two independent studies have found that 7SK RNA binds the CDK9/cyclin T complex (known as elongation factor P-TEFb). NCBI's taxonomy places the organism in Eukaryota, Metazoa, Chordata, Mammalia, Carnivora, Canidae. The record is from Ensembl.